Long non-coding RNA from Gallus gallus (chicken), 3032 nucleotides. The record is from Ensembl. Lineage: Eukaryota; Metazoa; Chordata; Aves; Galliformes; Phasianidae.
GCAGGGGGUGGGGCGGUGGCGCGGCGUGUCAGCGGCGGCGACAGGCGCUCGUGCCGCCGCCCCUCGGGAGGGGGACGCGAGGCCGCCGCCGCGUGAGGAAGAGCGGCUCUCGCACGGCCCCGCCGCUGUGGAACGUGUGGGGACGGAGCGGGACGGGGAGUAAACAAGCCUCUGGCCGCGCUCCCGAGCUUGGCCGGCUCCCCGCGGGAACGGGCAGUUCCACCCGGCGGUGUCCCGCCGCCCUUACGCUUCCCGUGCGCUGAGGGGAAAGUAAUAGUCCCACCUUUGCCGUUUCUUCUGUUUUGGCUGUCAGCCUCCUACUCCCUCCUACCAACCCGUGGCCACAGGGGAAACAAACCUCGUUCCAAAAUACGGCUCGGGUUCACAGACCGUGCCUUGUAUUGCACAAAUUCCUCGGCCACUCUCCGCGUGGAAAGCAGGAGCUAAAGAAAGCAAGCCACAUGAUGAUGUAAUGAAAGCCCAAGUCAUAGCACACGCCAAAUAGGUGUCUUCUUUACGAAUGAUUGGCUCUUGGAAUUAACUGGCCUUUGGAUUCUUAAGUCUGUGUGCUUUGUGUCCUCCAAAUGGUUUUAAAAGAAGCUAAUUUAGAAAUAGUUAAAAAUGCAGUUAUGAUCCUAAUGAUGGACGUCUUAUAGAAGCACAGAUCUUGCUGCAUGCUCCCUUUGUUGCCCAGAGAAGCUGUGGUGCCCCAUCCCUGGAGGUGCUCGAGGCCAGGUUGGAUGGGGCCCUGGGCAGCUGAGGUGGGGGUGGCAGCCCUGCCCACAGCAGGGAAGUUGGAACUGUAUGAUCUUUAAAGUCCCUUCCAACCCAAGGCACUCUGUGACCCUACGGUUUAUCUCUUUGACCGUGCACACCCAGGUCGAGCACAAAGAAAUGGUACACACACGUACAACGGCAGAAGAAUACAGAAAAACUAAAAGCCCAUAACAAAACUUAGUGCAGCUGUGUAAAAUGCAUAAGAAUUGUCAAAGCAAAGAGAACUUAUGGGCAGCUGGCAAAAAAUACCCAGGGAUCAAGUUUUAUUCUCCAUGAAAAGCCCCAAAGACAUCCUAAACAAUUUAAGAAGCAGAAGUUAACACCCAACAUCCUCCAGUGCCUCUGUCCCAAGGCUGUUCUCCAAAUCUUGCUGAGCUUUCUUACAGUAAGUCUGGCUUCACCCAGCACCAGUUUUCUUUUUGUCACCUUGAAAGUGCUUCUGUAUGCAAGGCUGGAACAAGGGUCAGCAGAUGUUGUGGCCUCGUUUCAAGGAAUCUUCAACGCUUCUACUUUCUUCAUCUUCUAAGCCUUUAAGAACUCGUCAGCCGCUUGAUAAUUCAGCACACAGAGCACCACCCUUAAGGGAAGAAAGGUGUUUCAGAGCCUCCCUGAUUCAGACAAACCAAGUGUCGCUACCUCUGAAUUUCUGCUGCAUGUUGCCAGCUAUCCACACUGAUGCAUAGCAGGACACGCCGAUGUGAGAGGAAGCAUUCCAGAAACAAUGUAGAUUUUACACUAUCUUUAGACAGGGAUCAGGAGGUCCUGCACUGCAUGUUCCAGCAGUUCCAGAGGCAUAACAAAGUUAAGUGCUGAGUGUGUAGAUUAGAAGAGUGUUAAGUGCUUUCCAUUUGAUACAUAACAGCAGUUACUUCACGGGCUCAGAAGCAUUGAUCAUCUGUCAGUAGGUGACACGAAAGCUGAGCUCAGUCUUCAGAGGUGCUUCUACACUCAGUGUGGUGUUAUGGAGCUCACCUGCUAGAAACUCCUGCUCUGUAAGCUUUAAAUGCCGUCUAAAUGUCCCUUUACCUAAUUAGAGAUAGUGAGAGCAGGAAUUGCCAUCUGCCGGCCGAGCCAGGAAUGAUCUGUGCCUGCAAUUCAUUUCUUCAUCUGUGUGGCUAAAUUUGGAAGUGGAUUCGAGCAUAAGAGAUGGUGUGACGUGAAAGCAGGACAAUGCAGCUUGCAGCCAACUCUGCACACAGUGCAUGGUGCUGCUCAGCCUCGCUCCAGGAAGGGCUGGGGAAAAACAGAGAAGAGAAUAGUUUUUUGGUGAUCUGAGACACCUCUUGAUUUUAUUGAGGUGUUGAUUUAAAAACAGUCAGCAAAAUGAUUGUUCUGUUGUGGAAAUUUUGAACUUUUGAACGAAGUUUGGAUAUUGGGAAAAAUUCCUUCUCAGAAGGAGUGGUGAGGCAGUGGCCCAGGCUGCCCAGAGAGAUGGUGGAGUCACCAUCCCUGAAGGUAUCCAAUAAACAUGGAGAUGUGGCAGUGAGGGAUGUGGUUAGUGGGCAUGGUGGGGAUGGGCUGACCGCUGGGCUAGGUGAUCCUUGGGGUCUUUUCCAACCUUAAUGAUUCUGUGAUUCUACGAAAGUGAUGAGUGGCCUCGGUUAGAAAUUAACUUCUGUGUCUCACAGUGUUUUCUGCAUGAGAAGAGUCAGUGGAAGGUUAUUUGACGACAUCUUCCCUGGCAGCCAUCCACUGCAGGAAGACAACAGAAAAUGGAACCCCACCUCCCCACCUCAUCUCCCCACCUGCAGGCUGAACAGAGGCACCCUCCCAGCCCCUGCCUAUGUGCCGCAGCGUCCUCACAGUCUUCUCCAAUUUGCAAGCAUCCAUUAAGCUCAAGUCUUGCAGCAACAUCUACGAUAAUGCAUACGAUCCUAUUCACCACAUUGUCAGGAAGAAUGCUGCAGAACUAGGAAAAGUACAAAGAGGACAAAUCAGCAAUUUGAUACUGCGUUUGAGUGAGAAGCAUUUAAAUUAAUCAGAACCUUACAGCUUGGGAAAGAAAUCACUAAGAAAACUAAGGCCUAUUAAGUCAUGACUGGCAUGAAACAGGCAAAAGGAAAUGUUUAUCUGCUAACUUUCAAAUAGAAGAGCUAAGGGACCUCCAAGAGAACCAUUGAGCAUCAAGGUUAACCCAAAAAUUACUAUUUCACUCAACAAAGCUAAAUUAUAGAACUAGUCAAUACAAAAUAUUUAAGAUGCCAAAAUGAUAAACUUAACAAACCAGUAGACAAAGUCACAAAAAAAAAUAUCUG